CCUACGGGAGGCAGCAGUGGGGAAUAUUGGGCAAUGGGCGCAAGCCUGACCCAGCAACGCCGCGUGAAUGAAGAAGGCCCUCGGGUUGUAAACUUCUUUUGUCAGGGACGAAACAAAUGACGGUACCUGACGAAUAACCCACGUCUAACUACGUGCCAGCAGCCGCGGUAAUACGUAGGUGGCAAGCGUUAUCCGGAUUUACUGGGUGUAAAGGGCGUGUAGGCGGGAGAGCAAGUCAGAUGUGAAAUUCCAGGGCUCAACCCUGGAACUGCAUUUGAAACUGUUUUUCGUGAGUGAUGGAGAGGCAGGCGGAAUUCCGGGUGUAGCGGUGAAAUGCGUAGAUAUACGGAGGAACACCAGUGGCGAAGGUGGCCUGCUGGACAUUAACUGACGCUGAGGCGCGAAAGCGUGGGGAGCAAACAGGAUUAGAUACCCUUGUAGUC
This 443-nucleotide ribosomal RNA is filed under the name uncultured bacterium. Its description in RNAcentral is "partial 16S ribosomal RNA". It matches the Rfam family "Bacterial small subunit ribosomal RNA", at positions 338 to 795 of the family's 1533-position model. The record is from RNAcentral.